This 460-nucleotide ribosomal RNA is filed under the name uncultured bacterium. Its description in RNAcentral is "partial 16S ribosomal RNA". It matches the Rfam family "Bacterial small subunit ribosomal RNA", at positions 338 to 795 of the family's 1533-position model. The record is from RNAcentral.
CCUACGGGUGGCAGCAGUGAGGAAUAUUGGUCAAUGGACGAGAGUCUGAACCAGCCAUGUAGCGUGAAGGAUGACUGCCCUAUGGGUUGUAAACUUCUUUUAUAAAGGAAUAAAACGAGGCACGUGUGCCUUUUUGCAUGUACUUUAUGAAUAAGGAUCGGCUAACUCCGUGCCAGCAGCCGCGGUAAUACGGAGGAUUCGAGCGUUAUCCGGAUUUAUUGGGUUUAAAGGGAGCGUAGAUGGGUUGUUAAGUCAGUGGUGAAAGUGUGCGGCUCAACCGUAAAAUUGCAAUUGAUACUGGCAGUCUUGAGUACAGUUGAGGUAAGCGGAAUUCGUGGUGUAGCGGUGAAAUGCUUAGAGAUCACGAAGAACCCCGAUUGCGAAGGCAGCUUACUAAACUGUGACUGACAUUGAUGCUCGAAAGUGUGGGUAGCAAACAGGAUUAGAUACCCUUGUAGUC